Molecule: non-coding RNA, 74 nt
Organism: Coccinella septempunctata (seven-spotted ladybird)
Lineage: Eukaryota; Metazoa; Arthropoda; Insecta; Coleoptera; Coccinellidae
Source: the annotation of a RefSeq genome assembly
UGCAGUAUAGCUCAGUGGUAGAGCACCUGACCAGCAAUCAGGGGGUCGUAGGUUCGAGUCCUGCUCUUUUUCAG